RNAcentral lists this ribosomal RNA (253 nucleotides) under uncultured bacterium. RNAcentral describes it as "partial 16S ribosomal RNA". It matches the Rfam family "Bacterial small subunit ribosomal RNA", at positions 524 to 776 of the family's 1533-position model. The record is from RNAcentral.
UACGGGGGGGGCAAGCGUUGUUCGGAAUUACUGGGCGUAAAGGGCUCGUAGGUGGCCAACUAAGUCGGACGUGAAAUCCCUCGGCUUAACCGGGGAACUGCGUCUGAUACUGGAUGGCUUGAGUUCGGGAGAGGGAUGCGGAAUUCCAGGUGUAGCGGUGAAAUGCGUAGAUAUCUGGAGGAACACCGGUGGCGAAGGCGGCAUCCUGGACCGACACUGACGCUGAGGAGCGAAGGCCAGGGGAGCAAACGGG